Molecule: long non-coding RNA, 210 nt
Filed under: Olea europaea (common olive)
Lineage: Eukaryota; Viridiplantae; Streptophyta; Magnoliopsida; Lamiales; Oleaceae
Description: long non-coding RNA (OEUR_LNC008083)
Source: RNAcentral
UCACAUCUCUCUCGAUAAUACGGACUCAGACACGUCCGCUCUGGUAAAUUGGCUUAACCCGUUAAUUUUUCAGCAUUAGCGCGUCAUCGUGUGGGGUGACAAUAGGUUGGGGGUUGUCAUUGCUUGGCAACCAUUGCUUGUGCUAGAAUUAGGGUUAUGUGCUCUUAAUUGAUCCUUUUGAUUGAGUAUUUGUUUUUGGGUUUAAAAUCA